RNAcentral lists this ribosomal RNA (590 nucleotides) under uncultured Propionibacterium sp. RNAcentral describes it as "bacterial SSU rRNA". It matches the Rfam family "Bacterial small subunit ribosomal RNA", at positions 303 to 892 of the family's 1533-position model. The record is from RNAcentral. Lineage: Bacteria; Bacillati; Actinomycetota; Actinomycetes; Propionibacteriales; Propionibacteriaceae.
ACCGGCCCACAUUUGGGGCUGAGAUACGGGCCCCAGACUCCUACGGGGAGGGCAGCAGUGGGGGAAUAUUUGCACAAUGGGGCGGAAGCCUGAUGCAGCAACGCCGCGUGCGGGAUGACGGCCUUCGGGUUGUAAACCGCUUUCGCCUGUGACGAAGCGUGAGUGACGGUAAUGGGUAAAGAAGCACCGGCUAACUACGUGCCAGCAGCCGCGGUGAUACGUAGGGUGCGAGCGUUGUCCGGAUUUAUUGGGCGUAAAGGGCUCGUAGGUGGUUGAUCGCGUCGGAAGUGAAAUCUUGGGGCUUAAGCGGCAGCGUGAAUUCGAUACGGGUUGACUUGAGGAAGGUAGGGGAGAAUGGAAUUCCUGGUGGAGCGGUGGAAUGCGCAGAUAUCAGGAGGAACACCAGUGGCGAAGGCGGUUCUCUGGACCUUUCCUGACGCUGAGGAGCGAAAGCGUGGGGAGCGAACUAGGCUUAGAUACCCUGGUAGUCCACGCUGUAAACGGUGGGUACUAGGUGUGGGGUCCAUUCCACGGAUUCCGUGCCGUAGCUAACGCUUUAAAGUACCCCGCCUGGGGAGUACGGCCGCAAG